Podarcis lilfordi (Lilford's wall lizard) is the source of this 75-nucleotide non-coding RNA. NCBI's taxonomy places the organism in Eukaryota, Metazoa, Chordata, Lepidosauria, Squamata, Lacertidae. The record is from the annotation of a GenBank genome assembly.
UUGGGAAAGCUCAGUUGGUAGAGCAUGAGACUCUUAAUCUCAGGGUCUUGGGUUCGAAACCCACAACGGGCAAAA